CAGUAGCCGCGGGAAAACAGAGGGUGCGAGCGUUAAUCGGAUUUACUGGGCGUAAAGCGUGCGUAGGCGGCUUCUUAAGUCGGAUGUGAAAUCCCUGAGCUUAACUUAGGAAUUGCAUUCGAUACUGUGAAGCUAGAGUAUGGGAGAGGAUGGUAGAAUUCCAGGUGUAGCGGUGAAAUGCGUAGAGAUCUGGAGGAAUACCGAUGGCGAAGGCAGCCAUCUGGCCUAAUACUGACGCUGAGGUACGAAAGCAUGGGGAGCAAACAGGAUUAGAUACCCCUGUAGUCCCUGUCUCUUAUAA
RNAcentral lists this ribosomal RNA (301 nucleotides) under uncultured bacterium. RNAcentral describes it as "partial 16S ribosomal RNA". It matches the Rfam family "Bacterial small subunit ribosomal RNA", at positions 509 to 809 of the family's 1533-position model. The record is from RNAcentral.